AACGAACGCUGGCGGCAUGCCUAACACAUGCAAGUCGAACGAGACCUUCGGGAGAAGUGGCGCACGGGUGUGUAGCGCGUGGGAAGGUGGAGUUAGGUUCGGGAUAAUACUUUGAAAGGGGUGAUAAUACAGGGAAAUGUACUCGGAUAAAAGAUUUAUCGCACUUGGAUGGGCACGCGUUGGUUUAGCUAGUUGGUAGGGUAAAAGCCUAUGAAGGCGAAGCUCCAUAGCUGGUCUGAGAGGAUGAUCAGCCACACUGAGACUGGGACACGGCCCAGACUCCUACGGGAUGCAGCAGUGGGUAAUAUUGGACUAUGGGCUAAAGCCUGAACCAGCUAUGCCUCGUGAGUGAUUAAGGCCUUAGAGUUGUAAAGCUCUUUUACCCGGGGUGAUAAUGACGGUACCGGAAGAAUAAGCUCCGGCUAACUCCGUG
RNAcentral lists this ribosomal RNA (433 nucleotides) under uncultured bacterium. RNAcentral describes it as "partial 16S ribosomal RNA". It matches the Rfam family "Bacterial small subunit ribosomal RNA", at positions 29 to 507 of the family's 1533-position model. The record is from RNAcentral.